GUAUCAAUUGUGCAGAGUGUUGCAGGAAUGCACAAUAAAACAGUCACUGUGUUGAAGAGACCACGCUCAUGUUCUGUUUUUUGCCAGUUGUGCUUCACAUAUUAAGGGCAUCUUUGUGUAAAAGAGCUUGUAAAAUCUGGUAAAAUAGGGGAGAACCAAUAACCCAGAAUGGGUGUUUCCUGAGAGUGCAGGUUAGGUGGUUUGAGUUUAGGGGUGUUGCAGUUGAAAGGAUAGUGGAGGUUAAGUGCAAGACGACAGUAGCCAGAGCAUGGAGACCGGAAAAGGGCUGAGCAUUAUGAAGAAGGAGGAGUGAGGAAGAAGAGGUGUGUGGCAUAAACUGGAGCAGAAAUGGUAAGAGAAGAAAACACUGAAGGGAAGAUAAACAAACUGCAAAGCAGAAAAACAUAUAGACAUAUGACUGAAAGAGCAGCCUGUGGUAGAUUUUGUACCAGGGCCCAUUGCUGUUCUGCCCAGUGCCUAAUUAGCUUCAUACAGGGAAAUAAUAAUGAACUCCACAAUUGUCUCCUUUCAUUUUUACAACUAUGGAAGUUGAAGUGUGAAAGGAAGCUGUAGAAGCAAAUAGAGAUCUGGGGUGUGCUACAUGUACGGGAGCGUUGCCUGGGCCACUGAACAGUGCAGUGACGCAGGAGCUAUGGAUGGGAACCAGUAUUGUUACUCCAUGAAAUGAAGUAUCUGUCAAAUCAGACUUACCCUAUGACUGCUGUUCUCAUUUUACUUCUUCUCUGGCUUCCAUUAAAGUGUACAUCUUUAGGGUAGGCAGUUUUGGGGGGGCUGGCUCAAAAAGGAAAACUCCCAUCUGUCUUUUGGUUUGAGUGGUACCCUUCAAGCCUAAUGAACUGGUUCAUUAAAUUAGUAUAAUAAUCAUGUUUUAGACAUAGCCUAGUUUUAAGCCGAGGCAUGAAAUAAUUCUUUGCUGAAAAUCAAGAAUGUUUGGGAAUCUUUCUUUUCUUUCUGUGGUCCUUGCUGGGUUUUGUCCAGGAUGUCCUUGGAAAUGUGAGCUCCAGAUAUAUCAUGAGACAACCUCUGUUUUGUGCCAGCUGCAUGUUUCAGAAGAAAACACUGGAGGAGAUGGUUGAAUGUGCAUGCAGACUUCUGGAUGCUCAUCAGCAUUAAUUCCAAACUUCCUUUUUGGAUGCUGAUUGCUGAUCAGCGCUGUAAAGCAGCACAAACAAGACAGACAGCUUUAACCACUAAAAAUGCUCCCUCUUCUGCUCUCACAGUCUCUGUAGACCAGAAUUUUGUAAACAGCCAGAUGCAGUUUUGCUUCCAGAGAUAUCACAAUCCAGAUUUUGGUCCAACUAGCUAUUUCAGGCCAACUCAGACUCUACUGAAAGAUGGAUUUAUAAGGAAAAUGUUGUCAGAUCCUGGUCUUUUGUAACACCGGUGGGAGCCACGAUAAUAAUAAUGAUUUCCUUUAACAGUCUUCCAUCAAAUGUUCAAAGCAGUAGCUUUUCCUUUGGUACAAACAUCAAAAAUGUGGACAAUUUUGUUUCCUAAGCUUGGACAACAUCUGUGUUUCCACCAUUUCUAUGGGAAUGGAGUACACCCCCAAUUUUAUUUAAAACCACCUUUUUGGCUAAAGUGUGUGGUAUGGAAGCACUUUCAUUCUGCCUCAUGUAUCUUGUUCUAGGAAGUUGGAGUCUGCCUGUUUCAUUCCUCCAGGACUUUUUUACUGUGAAGAGUGUAGAUGAGAACAGUGUUUUUCCUCUCAGAAUUCCUUCAAGUUGUUUGCCUAACCUAGACACCUUAAGUGUAUCUAAGUAGUUAAAUGAUUCUCAUUGAUAGUAAUGUUUUACUGAUAUUUAAGUUGCUUGUUGGCCCAAACCAGAAUCAAUUUGAGAGAUGACUGUAGUGAGCUCUGACAUCUGGAAAAAGUUAAACUGUAGCCUGGCUGCAGUUUAGUUCUUUACCUUCUGGGACAAGCCUCUUGCUUUGAUCUGGGUUGGAAAUCUCUAAAUCAAUUCUGGAUGUGCAUGUGGAAAGAAGGAUAUAAGAGAAAACGGAGGAGGAUCUCACUGUUUCCAUUGCAUUUUUCUGAACUCUGCCCAGUUGGAAGGAAAGCACCUAUCUAAUGUCAGUAUAAAGACUGAGAAGGCUUGUCAGUGCACAGUAGAAGUUACAUCUUAAAAUGUGUACCCAUAUCCUGUAGGCAGGCAAUUUGUUCAUAAAAUGGCUGACAGGAAAACUGAGGAGAGAUUUGUGCUGGCUUAUGGUAUCCCACACACAGCAAGAAAGUGCUUUCCAAAGAAGGAACUAGCUUUUCUCUGAGCAAGAGAAGGGUAAAUGUUACGCUCCUGUCUGUUUUGCUUUAGAGAUUGUAAAAAGGAUUGGCCUUCCUUGCAUGCCUCUCAUCAGGAAUGGAAAUAGGCAGGCUGUCUGAGGGAGUGGUCUUAUGUACAUGGAAACUGUUUUACGCAAGAAGAGGAGGCUGGUCCAGCAAAAGGUGUGGUUUUAUUUACAUCCAUGCUCUUCCCUCAUGAUUGGAGGGUGUUUGGAAGGUGUGGUCUCAUUUACAUCCCGCCUAGGCUGCCUUUGGCUCAUCUAGUUUCAACCCUUGUCUGUGGCUGGAAAAGGAGGGAAUUGCUGCAAGCAGAAUAAAAACUACUGUGUGAAAAAACGUGACUGAUUUCUGCCCCUGUUUCUUCAGUGUAUGCAUUGCUGCUGGGAAGGAAAGUUGACGCCCUCCUCAAAGCAGCAAUGGAAUUGUAUGAACCUGAGGUCUGUAAAUGCUGGAAAGAAGAGGCAGGAAAGGACUGCCUGCUAAUAAAAGGGGGAUGAGUGUCCAGGAAAGCAGGUGAUGACAUGGGUGUGUGGGACUGAUGGCAGAGCUCUCCACGCAGCGUCUGAAGUGGCCAAAGACUACUUCGUCUUGUGGGAAUUCUCCAGCAGUGAAUCCUUUUGUCUGGCAUACGUUCACUUUGUUUAAUGCAAGAUUGAUGAAACAAACCAGACAAUUUGGCCUUCAGAUGCUAUAAUUGUGAACAAACUGUCCAGAACAAAGAUAUUUGGAAGACACAAACCUCACAAUCCUCUCUGACUUUUGAUUUUCCUUUCCCCAUGUUGAAUUCAUUAAUUUAGGUAUUUCGAACCAUGAUUUAAGGAAGGCCUUAACUCUGUGGGUACUGACUUCUACCAGUUCUUACAAUCGCUCCAUGGGUGGGAUUUUAGAAAAUACUCUGAGGUUGGCCUGCAGGAGAAUCCCAUUUUCCUUGUCUAAUUUAAUAGGUACAGGAUGGAAUUUUCUUUUCCACACUCUCUUACAUUAAUGAAACAGUCCAGGCUGUAACAAAUAACUGAUGUCACCACAGUUUAGAAAGUACAUAUUUAAAUGAAACUAUAAUACAGCCUUCUUACAGAUUGUGAAACUGGACAGCCUGCAACCAUCUGGCACUCCACCUCUGAAAGAAUAUCAGUAAAGACAAUGCUGUUCUUUCUGUAAGAGUGCCACCAUCUAGAUGCAGCCAUCACAGAAAGCCCCUUUCUUAAGUCAAGCUUUAUUCAACUUUCAAAGCACAUGUGAAAAAUAAAUGUUAUUUCCAGUGCAAGCCAAAUAGUCAUAACUAUUACAUCCUUAAAUCACACUUUAUGCCUGCUUGUAUUAGUACAGGCAGUAGGAAAAACUGCAUCUCAGACGCAGCCCCAGCAAGAUUAAAUAUACUGCAAACAAGAUUAAAUAUGUUGUAUACCUCAGGGAGAAAAAGAAGUGUGGAGAGGUGGAAAUCAAUGCACAGCAGAGUUGCAUGCUGAUUAAAUUUCCCCUGAGCUGGCUUUGAUGGUCCAGGUGAGGACCUCUACUUUAGGUAUCAAAACUACUUCUUUCUAGUGAAAACUUGAACUCCACUAAUAGGCGCUUCCAAUCUAAAAAACCUUGAAGGCAGUUUUUCUGCUCAAGGGAAGCAAAACUGCUAAUUUCAUAAAAUCUUAACCACAUUAGGAAAUAAUUAG
This is a long non-coding RNA of Pezoporus flaviventris, 3966 nucleotides long. RefSeq lists it as uncharacterized. Lineage: Eukaryota; Metazoa; Chordata; Aves; Psittaciformes; Psittacidae. The transcript is spliced from 3 exons. The record is from RefSeq and is a predicted model, not a curated record.